This 602-nucleotide ribosomal RNA is filed under the name uncultured bacterium. RNAcentral's name for it is "bacterial SSU rRNA". It matches the Rfam family "Bacterial small subunit ribosomal RNA", at positions 338 to 1212 of the family's 1533-position model. The record is from RNAcentral.
CCUACGGGAGGCAGCAGUGGGGAAUAUUGGACAAUGGGCGAAAGCCUGAUCCAGCAAUGCCGCGUGAGUGAUGAAGGCCUUAGGGUUGUAAAGCUCUUUUACCCGGGAUGAUAAUGACAGUACCGGGAGAAUAAGCUCCGGCUAACUCCGUGCCAGCAGCCGCGGUAAUACGGAGGGAGCUAGCGUUGUUCGGAAUUACUGGGCGUAAAGCGUACGUAGGCGGCUAUUCAAGUCAGAGGUGAAAGCCUGGAGCUCAACUCCAGAACUGCCUUUGAAACUAGAUGGCUAGAAUCACGGAGAGGUGAGUGGAAUUCCGAGUGUAGAGGUGAAAUUCGUAGAUAUUCGGAAGAACACCAGUGGCGAAGGCGGCUCACUGGACGUGUAUUGACGCUGAGGUACGAAAGCGUGGGGAGCAAACAGGAUUAGAUACCCUGGUAGUCCACGCCGUAAACGAUGAUAACUAGCUGCCAGGGCUCUUAGAGCUUUGGUGGCGCAGCUAACGCAUUAAGUUAUCCGCCUGGGGAGUACGGUCGCAAGAUUAAAACUCAAAAUGAAAUUGACGGCGNGAGAGNGACCGAACGGACGACGACGAGGGAGGUAGG